RNAcentral lists this ribosomal RNA (543 nucleotides) under uncultured bacterium. RNAcentral describes it as "bacterial SSU rRNA". It matches the Rfam family "Bacterial small subunit ribosomal RNA", at positions 355 to 896 of the family's 1533-position model. The record is from RNAcentral.
UGGGGAAUAUUGCACAAUGGGCGAAAGCCUGAUGCAGCGACGCCGCGUGAGGGAUGACGGCCUUCGGGUUGUAAACCUCUUUCGCUCAUGGUCAAGCCGCAGCUGUGGGUUGUGGUGAGGGUAGUGGGUAAAGAAGCGCCGGCUAACUACGUGCCAGCAGCCGCGGUAAUACGUAGGGCGCGAGCGUUGUCCGGAAUUAUUGGGCGUAAAGGGCUUGUAGGCGGUUGGUCGCGUCUGCCGUGAAAUCCUCUGGCUUAACUGGGGGCGUGCGGUGGGUACGGGCUGACUUGAGUGCGGUAGGGGGGACUGGAACUCCUGGUGUAGCGGUGGAAUGCGCAGAUAUCAGGAAGAACACCGGUGGCGAAGGCGGGUCUCUGGGCCGUUACUGACGCUGAGGAGCGAAAGCGUGGGGAGCGAACAGGAUUAGAUACCCUGGUAGUCCACGCUGUAAACGUUGGGCACUAGGUGUGGGGGCCACCCGUGGUUUCUGCGCCGUAGCUAACGCUUUAAGUGCCCCGCCUGGGGAGUACGGCCGCAAGGCUA